This 3454-nucleotide long non-coding RNA is filed under the name Homo sapiens (human). RNAcentral describes it as "TSNAX-DISC1 readthrough (NMD candidate), transcript variant 3 (TSNAX-DISC1)". Lineage: Eukaryota; Metazoa; Chordata; Mammalia; Primates; Hominidae. The record is from RNAcentral.
ACGUGAGAGGAGACUUCCGGCCACUGCGUUGUAGUCGGCCCGGCUGCAAAGCGUUUUUCUGCAGGCUGUUUUCCCAGGUUCCCUCGGCCUGUACCUCGCGCACUCCUCUUGCUCCAGGUCCUUCAGUCUCCGCUCGUCUCACCGUAGGCUGUGACGACAUGAGCAACAAAGAAGGAUCAGGAGGGUUCAGGAAAAGGAAGCAUGACAAUUUCCCACAUAACCAAAGAAGAGAAGGGAAGGAUGUUAAUUCAUCUUCACCCGUGAUGUUGGCCUUUAAAUCAUUUCAGCAGGAACUUGAUGCAAGGCAUGACAAAUAUGAGAGACUUGUGAAACUUAGUCGGGAUAUAACUGUUGAAAGUAAAAGGACAAUUUUUCUCCUCCAUAGGAUUACAAGUGCUCCUGAUAUGGAAGAUAUAUUGACUGAAUCAGAAAUUAAAUUGGAUGGUGUCAGACAAAAGAUAUUCCAGGUAGCCCAAGAGCUAUCAGGGGAAGAUAUGCAUCAGUUCCAUCGAGCCAUUACUACAGGACUACAGGAAUAUGUGGAAGCUGUCUCUUUUCAACACUUCAUCAAAACACGAUCAUUAAUUAGUAUGGAUGAAAUUAAUAAACAAUUGAUAUUUACGACUGAAGACAAUGGGAAAGAAAAUAAAACUAAGUUUACAGGCAAGAUCCUACUCACAGAGGCUCUUGGGAUCAAGGCUGACAGAAGCUCCAUCUGAAGACUUUUAUACUAUAGAGGCAGAAAAAGAGUGAUGAAUCAAGCACUGGCUUCUAAAGCUUCCGCCCAGAUGGGAAGCAUAUCUCCUCUGCUCACAUUUCCCUGACCAAAGCCAGUCACAUGGCCAUCCUCAGCUUCAGAGAGGUUGGGAAGGCAUUCCCACUAUGUGUCUGGAUGCCAGCAACUCAGAAAUAUUUGGCAGCCGGGAUUGCUUACCACCUGCAGCGUGCUUUCGGAGGCGGCGGCUGGCACGGAGGCCGGGCUACAUGAGAAGCUCGACAGGGCCUGGGAUCGGGUUCCUUUCCCCAGCAGUGGGCACACUGUUCCGGUUCCCAGGAGGGGUGUCUGGCGAGGAGUCCCACCACUCGGAGUCCAGGGCCAGACAGUGUGGCCUUGACUCGAGAGGCCUCUUGGUCCGGAGCCCUGUUUCCAAGAGUGCAGCAGCCCCUACUGUGACCUCUGUGAGAGGAACCUCGGCGCACUUUGGGAUUCAGCUCAGAGGUGGCACCAGAUUGCCUGACAGGCUUAGCUGGCCGUGUGGCCCUGGGAGUGCUGGGUGGCAGCAAGAGUUUGCAGCCAUGGAUAGUUCUGAGACCCUGGACGCCAGCUGGGAGGCAGCCUGCAGCGAUGGAGCAAGGCGUGUCCGGGCAGCAGGCUCUCUGCCAUCAGCAGAGUUGAGUAGCAACAGCUGCAGCCCUGGCUGUGGCCCUGAGGUCCCCCCAACCCCUCCUGGCUCUCACAGUGCCUUUACCUCAAGCUUUAGCUUUAUUCGGCUCUCGCUUGGCUCUGCCGGGGAACGUGGAGAAGCAGAAGGCUGCCCACCAUCCAGAGAGGCUGAGUCCCAUUGCCAGAGCCCCCAGGAGAUGGGAGCCAAAGCUGCCAGCUUGGACGGGCCUCACGAGGACCCGCGAUGUCUCUCUCGGCCCUUCAGUCUCUUGGCUACACGGGUCUCUGCAGACUUGGCCCAGGCCGCAAGGAACAGCUCCAGGCCAGAGCGUGACAUGCAUUCUUUACCAGACAUGGACCCUGGCUCCUCCAGUUCUCUGGAUCCCUCACUGGCUGGCUGUGGUGGUGAUGGGAGCAGCGGCUCAGGGGAUGCCCACUCUUGGGACACCCUGCUCAGGAAAUGGGAGCCAGUGCUGCGGGACUGCCUGCUGAGAAACCGGAGGCAGAUGGAGGUAAUAUCCUUAAGAUUAAAACUUCAGAAACUUCAGGAAGAUGCAGUUGAGAAUGAUGAUUAUGAUAAAGCUGAGACGUUACAACAAAGAUUAGAAGACCUGGAACAAGAGAAAAUCAGCCUGCACUUUCAACUUCCUUCAAGGCAGCCAGCUCUUAGCAGUUUCCUGGGUCACCUGGCAGCACAAGUCCAGGCUGCCUUGCGCCGUGGGGCCACUCAGCAGGCCAGCGGAGAUGACACCCACACCCCACUGAGAAUGGAGCCGAGGCUGUUGGAACCCACUGCUCAGGACAGCUUGCACGUGUCCAUCACGAGACGAGACUGGCUUCUUCAGGAAAAGCAGCAGCUACAGAAAGAAAUCGAAGCUCUCCAAGCAAGGAUGUUUGUGCUGGAAGCCAAAGAUCAACAGCUGAGAAGGGAAAUAGAGGAGCAAGAGCAGCAACUCCAGUGGCAGGGCUGCGACCUGACCCCACUGGUGGGCCAGCUGUCCCUGGGUCAGCUGCAGGAGGUCAGCAAGGCCUUGCAGGACACCCUGGCCUCAGCCGGUCAGAUUCCCUUCCAUGCAGAGCCACCGGAAACCAUAAGGAGCCUCCAGGAAAGAAUAAAAUCCCUCAACUUGUCACUUAAAGAAAUCACUACUAAGGAAACCAUUUCUGGACGGCUAAAGACCUCACCGAGGAGAUUAGAUCAUUAACAUCAGAGAGAGAAGGGCUGGAGGGACUCCUCAGCAAGCUGUUGGUGUUGAGUUCCAGGAAUGUCAAAAAGCUGGGAAGUGUUAAAGAAGAUUACAACAGACUGAGAAGAGAAGUGGAGCACCAGGAGACUGCCUAUGGUAGGUAGUGCACAACUGUUCCCCGGCAAGAUAUUGAUGAUAUUUGUUGUGUUUUGUGGCCAGGCAGAAUGUUCUGUGCCUUAUGUGAACGUCACUGUGAAGAGCGUCAUGGAGCACAUGGCCCUUUUCCUUGGGGACAUUUUUGGCAGGUGCCUUGGCAAACCGAAUGGAAUUACUUGUCAGCUUUUGUUUUCAUAUUCACAUGUGACAUCUUUUCUUUUUCUGUUCCCUGUCUCAACCUGUGUUUGCUAAUAGCCUUGUUAUUAUUUAGAGCAGUCUCUCCCUUGGCAAGGUCUUGAGCAUUUUCUUUGUGUGACAAUUAUCUUCCUUUUGUCCCUUGGCUCCGUCUCCUUGUCUGCACAAUCAUAGACUAAAUCAGGCUGAUCUGAGAAAAUUGAGGGAAGACCAUAAAGUGGCUCUUCUAUGUGUGGACUUUUCUGAGAGCUUCUUUCCCCAGGAAGGAUGAUGUAGAAGAUGUGAAUGCCGCCUUAGCCAAAGUGUCUGCUUGUCAGAGGAGUUCAAGUGUUCCUGUGUUCUUUCCUUUUCCAGUCGUUAGGAGUAACUGAGCUUACUCUGAGAUUUGCACCCAGAGGGAUGGUCUCAGAAGACGCUGGUUCAGUGCAAAUUGAGAUGGUAAAAACUUAUUUCUUAAAAAAUGGUUCCUAAAUAAAUGUCAUUUACUAAAACAAAUGAAAGAAAUAUAUAUAUGAAUAAAUGGCUAUAUUUU